RNAcentral lists this long non-coding RNA (3357 nucleotides) under Sus scrofa (pig). RNAcentral's name for it is "lncRNA (ENSSSCG00000061926.1)". Lineage: Eukaryota; Metazoa; Chordata; Mammalia; Artiodactyla; Suidae. The record is from RNAcentral.
CAGCAUAUGGAGGUUCCCAGGCUAGGGGUCCAAUCAGAGCUGUAGCCGCUGGCCCAUACCACAGCCACAGCAACGCCAGAUCCGAGCCAUGUCUGUGACCUACACCACAGCUCAUGGCAACGCUGGAUCCUUAACCCACUGAGUGAGGCCAGGGAUCAAACCCAGAAUCUCAUGGUUCCUAGUCAGCUUCGUUAACCGCUGAGCCAUGAUGGGAACUACAAAAAAUAUUUCUGUUAAAGGUAACUUAUGCAAGGGAGGACACCCUACUGUAGGGAAAAAAAAACAACAACAACCCGCAGAAUAUCAUGCAUGUCUGCUAAAAUUUAGAUCUGGGCUGUGGUUUAAUACUCUGUAGAAUAAAAGUUGCUGAGUGACUUGUAUAGAUCCCUGACACUAUUCAGACAUUGUCAGAUCUAAGAAGGGAAGCAGACUGAUGGAAAACUUUGCUGUCCUUUGUAUGUAGGUGGUACAUUUAUAGAUCCAUCCACUAAACUGGGAGCUCUGUGAGGGCAGAGAUGUUGCCUUCUCUAUUCGAUUUCCUUGUGAUGUCCUCAGAGCCUGUAACUGCCACUGACACACCACAGGCCCAUUCGUUUUUCAGUUUUUGUUGAAAGAACUGAAUAUGCAGAAACUAAGAUGUAUACCCCAAUAAAACUGUGUCGAGGAAGAAGUAAUAGCUCUUGUGUUUAGUAGGAUAAAUGAAUUUCAACAUCAGCAAACUGCUAAGCUGAUUCUUUCCCUCAGACUGUAGUUAUGUGUGGGGAAAAAGUCAGCAGUCAUUUCCAUACAAUGUAAGACAGAAUUUAUUUUUAGUUUAAUUACACACAAGUGAUCUCAUCUUAUAUUGUCAAUUUCUCUGGAGAUUUAACAUGUUGAUGAUCCCAAACUCCUGUGCAGCUCCUCUGGGAAGAGGUACAAUCUUAGUCAUGCCUUUAUAUUGUCGUAAGAAUUGGAAAAGUGGUGCCAGCCUCCACUUAUGUUGACUGUACUUAAGAAGAAAGUUCGGUCUGCUCGUCAAAGGGUUAUUUGCUCUGGAAAUUUACCUUCGGCCAACAAGCCCUGGAUCCUGGAGAAAAAUUAGACCAAAGGCUAAAAGAUGUCACACGUAGAAAAGAUUCUAAGUAAAAAACUAAGUUGCCACUUACAGACAUAAUCUCAUCCCUUGUUUGGUUUAUGGUCAUUAUACCACAUUGAAAAUCUGUGAGUCUUUUCUCUCCUUCUGAUUUUAGACCCUUGAGCCUAAUGCCUUGGAUAUGGUUUUCUUCAUAUAUGUAAUCUUUAUCCUUUGCUCACUUGACUACGAGACUCAAUCCAGUGUCCAAAUAAGUGGCCUAUUUGCUUCAGUCUUAGAGCUGUCCCACAGGAGUCCUCAACAAAUAAUUUGUUUGAGUUGAUCUCUUUUUUUUAAGGCUAAACGAUGUGAACAGUUGAUGGAUAAUCCUGAGGAUUCCUUUCCGGGACAAGAAUUAGUUCUUCCAGUGGAAGAGUUUCCAAUUCGUCACCUUUCUCAAAUGACUAAUGAAGUAAAAGCAAACAAAAUACUAAUAGAUGGUUAGACUAAUGAGGUGGACGUCUGCUAGGUUGUGCUUUUGUUGCUUGUGCAGGGAGGGAAUCUUUAUGACACUCUCUUUGGGGUUGGAGAUCAGAGCUGAGCCAGUGCUCCUGGUGCGUGGGUUCCACUCCCUUUACCACAUUUGCUGCUGACCAGGAGCUUUUAUGUUAUCACUUAAUCUUGCUGGGCUGUGAUUGAAAAGAAUAGAUCUCCAAUGCUCUCAGCAGGUAAGAUAUGAAAGAUAAUGUUAAAUGACUUUUUCUUACCUAUGAAAUACUUCCGUUUUAAACACCAUUCAAAAGAAUUUCACUUUUCUUCUGUUGUAAUCUUUGUAGUCAAUGAGCAUAAUAAUGUCCAGCCAUCAAAACAUACAAGUGCACCGUUUUAUUUAGUUUUAUGAAGCCUUAAAAAUUUGGCAUAUAGUUGAUUUGGGGGCCAUAUCACGAUUUUAUAAAGUACCGAAAAGAGAGGUCCAAAAAUUCCACGGUGUUUAGCAGAGUUAAGGAAGAAAGUAGUGGCUGCCAUGUUAGAAAAAUUAUGAAGCCUUUCCUUACUGGUAUUUUAUCUACUCUUCUCAGAUUUCUAAUUUCUGGGGUUGAAUCCUUUCCCCUCAUCCCAUGUGUACACCUUUAUUUUAAAAAACGCUCACUGUUUUCUGAACUCGAGAUAGUCUUCCCAAAUGCAGAAAGGCAACUAUGCCAAUUAUUUUCACUUAGAGGUUUAAAUACUUGCAGAUUUUAACAUCUCUCAUACAGUAUUGCAGUAGACAACGACUCCCUAUUUCUCUCCUGUAAUUCACUGUUGAUCUUUCUCAAGGAGCAUAUGCCCUGGUUUCCUGUUCUUCAUCAUUCUAUUCAGUGCUUAAUCAUCUGCCAGAGUGAUCUUCUUAGUUAUCCUUUUGAAAAGUCCAAGGACAUCAGGGGCCUUCUAAUCAUGCAGUAUUCAUACUUUUUCUCUGAUGAAAUCACUGCCGCCGAUGGUCACCUCUCUGCAGUAUUUCAGCCUUCCCUCUGCCUCUACUGAUCAUCUCUGUGACAUGACAUGGUUAGCGUGUAUCUCUUGAAUUGCUGCUCCUUUCUGUCUCCGUCUUCCUCCAAGUUCUUAAAUUCAGCAAAUUGUAAGGUUCAGCUCUUGGCGUCUUGCUUUUUUCUUCUACUCCAUUUCCUGUGAAGAGGCUUAGAUUCUGUUCCCUUCACUCUCAGGGUCCCUUUGAAGACAGUACAUUCAAAACACAGUAGGGCUGAACACAGUGUAGGAGGGCUGGGGGAAGAGUGCAUUGCAUCUUGGGAAAUGUGUCACCCUGUGCACACUGGUGGGCAUGGUUUUUCCCGUACUUCUGAAAUUCAUCAUUUGAGAGAGUUGGGAGAAGAUCCCACCUAGGUCCGCUAGAGCCUCUCUGAAUUCGCCUAGAUUCUUAGAGCCAGGAGAGAGGCAGCUUGCCCGUUUUCCCUCGGCUUUCCACCUACUCCCUGGCGGACAUUGAGGCUAAGUGCUCUCUGAAUCAUCCAUUUGGUCAAUAUAGGGGUCUGGAUAGAACUGCCUUCUAAGGACCCCCCCCUAACUUUAGGGUCCACAAAAUAACAAUGCAGGUUAAGAGAAAGAAGCGUCAAGCUGAAGGAUCAGAAGAAGAGAGUACUUUCAAGUAUAAUUUUUUACAGGAAAUUUUAUGCUCUCUUAAAUAACUUAGGCAUCCUGCAUCAACCAGAAACAGACGCUCACUCAAAGCUCAUAAAGCCCAAAGGAAAGAAUGUUUUGAGGUUAAAAAAAGAGAGAACCUGGAUGACAGGAGGAAAAGAAGGCAAGAG